Long non-coding RNA from Panicum virgatum (switchgrass), 1418 nucleotides. RefSeq lists it as uncharacterized. Lineage: Eukaryota; Viridiplantae; Streptophyta; Magnoliopsida; Poales; Poaceae. The record is from RefSeq and is a predicted model, not a curated record. The transcript has 2 exons.
GUGCCCCCACCCCGCCCCUCUUCUCUCUCCAUCUUAUCUCUUCGACGACGACUCCUCUCCCCGUCCCGCCGUCGCCUCUGCUCCUCCAUGUCACCGCGUCCUCCCCUCCUCUCCCCGGUCCGCCCCGCUGCCUCCUCCUCCACUCCUCCCCCUCGUCGCAGUCUCCUCCCUCCGCGGCGGUGCACGGUCAUGCGCGCGGGGACGGGGCGCGGAGCGGACUGCGAGCGCGCGAGGGGACGCGACGUCCUCGGCCUCCACGCGCGUCCAGUGGUUCACAUCGGCGGCGGGCCGCACCGGCACAAGCCCCCAGGCCCCAGCCCCUAGCAGCCCGCCCCCAGCCGCUGGCGCUCGCGGCUCGCGCAGGCGCAAGGGCCAGGCUCCGCCGCUCCGGCCGCGGGCCGCCUGCCGCGCGUGGCGCGCCCACGCCGCACAGGGGGCAGGCCGGCAGGGGCAGCGCCGGCCGCCGCCACGCUGCGCAGCCAGCGCAGGGCCGUCGAUGCGAUGCUGGUUUACCACGAGCCAACCAGAAGUUAAGAUUCGAUCCCUUACCUUUCCUCCCAUCUUGUCUUCUUGUUCUGAUUCGAUCUGGAUCUGAUCCGCGGGUUAAGGUAACAAGUUGGAAAAACAGGGUAUAUCACGUCCAUGUGGUUCUUAAAAUAUUUGAUCAAGUAGACAAGACUCUGAACAUCAUAUUGAGUCAAAUUGAAAUUAUCCAGAUCGAAUAGUUCAAGGAUGCUGCAAUGGAACAGGGCGAACGACUGAGGACAAAGUAUCUAGAAUACAUUCACCCACCAGCACCUGGGCAUGUAGAUCCCACACAACUAGAUCAAUUCUACUGCUUGUAUUUAGCUCAUGCUAAUCAUAUUACCUUGUCUAGAAUUCUAGAUAGAGUAAUGGGUAUCUGCAAAGGCAGUGAGCCCUGAUCUAUGAUGGUGCUGGCAAGUGGCAAGCUUUUACUACUUCCUUAUCAGUGUAUCUAAUUUUGGUUCCAGAUGACACUUAUAGCUUUGCGAGAACAGUAUCUGGUUGAAGUUCACAACAAAACUAAAUGGCUGUGUUGAAAGCACAAACUGAAAAUGAAGUCUAUUCAACACCAUUUGAUCUUUCUGAUAUCAAGUGAUAAACUCUUGAUGCUGGAAAUCAGUUAGCUGUUCAGAAGUUAUUACUGCAAAGCAUAUACUGCUGCAAAGCAUAUACUGUACCUUACUGUUUAUUUCUCAUUGCCAUUCCUUUUUCAUAUGAUGUACUUGAGUUGCUCAUCAAUUAACUGUUCGGGGAGAUACAUAGAUAACAAUUAGUUACCGUGAUGUAUGUAUGAGCACAGAUGUAUAACAUAUGUAUGUAUAUGUGAUCAGAGAGGCACUAUGAUGUAUAUAUAUACCUUAUUUAUUAUUAAAUUUUGUCAGUUAUUUUUUUAA